UGCAGCUGGGCGCCGAGCCCUGCCACCACUGCAGGCCCGCAACAGAAAUGGCAGGGACGGGGGAACCAAGAACGUGGACGCCGAAUCGGCGUCCUUGGGGUGAAGCCAGCACGUCUGGCCGGGCGACUCUCUCCCGAACCCGACAGCUCACCUCGAAGGCGUCAGGGAGGCUUCAU
Molecule: small RNA, 176 nt
Filed under: Cellulomonas sp.
Lineage: Bacteria; Bacillati; Actinomycetota; Actinomycetes; Micrococcales; Cellulomonadaceae
Description: c-di-AMP sequence
Rfam family: c-di-AMP riboswitch aptamer (ydaO/yuaA leader)
About the family: This family represents a conserved RNA structure found upstream of the ydaO and yuaA genes in Bacillus subtilis and related genes in other bacteria. The ydaO/yuaA element is thought to act as a genetic "off" switch for the ydaO and yuaA genes in its native state.
Source: RNAcentral